UACGUAGGGGGCUAGCGUUGUCCGGAAUCAUUGGGCGUAAAGCGCGUGUAGGUGGUCCGGUAAGUCCGCUGUGAAAGUCGGGGGCUCAACCCUCGGAUGCCGGUGGAUACUGUCGGGCUUGAGUACGGAAGAGGCGAGUGGAAUUCCUGGUGUAGCGGUGAAAUGCGCAGAUAUCAGGAGGAACACCAAUUGCGAAGGCAGCUCGCUGGGACGUUACUGACGCUGAGACGCGAAAGCGUGGGGAGCAAACAGG
Molecule: ribosomal RNA, 253 nt
Filed under: uncultured bacterium
Lineage: Bacteria
Description: partial 16S ribosomal RNA
Rfam family: Bacterial small subunit ribosomal RNA
Source: RNAcentral